Molecule: ribosomal RNA, 890 nt
Filed under: Subulicystidium perlongisporum
Lineage: Eukaryota; Fungi; Basidiomycota; Agaricomycetes; Trechisporales; Hydnodontaceae
Description: partial large subunit ribosomal RNA
Rfam family: Eukaryotic large subunit ribosomal RNA
Source: RNAcentral
AGGAUUCCCCUAGUAACUGCGAGUGAAGCGGGAAGAGCUCAAAUUUGAAAUCCNGGCGGUUCUGCCGUCCGAGUUGUAAUCUGGAGAAGCGUUUUCCGUGCCGGACCGUGUACAAGUCCCUUGGAACAGGGCGUCAUAGAGGGUGAGAAUCCCGUCUUUGACACGGACUCCCGGUGCUCUGCGAUGCGCUCUCGAAGAGUCGAGUUGUUUGGGAAUGCAGCUCAAAAUGGGUGGUAAAUUCCAUCUAAAGCUAAAUAUUGGCGAGAGACCGAUAGCGAACAAGUACCGUGAGGGAAAGAUGAAAAGCACUUUGGAAAGAGAGUAAAACAGUACGUGAAAUUGUUGAAAGGGAAACGCUUGGAGUCAGUCGCGUCUUCCGGAACUCAGCCUUGCUUCUGCUAGGUGCACUUUCCGGUUCGACGGGUCAGCAUCGGCUUUGGGAGGCGGACAAAGGCGCGGGGAAGGUGGCAGCUCCGGCUGUGUUAUAGCCCCGCGUUGUACGCGUCUCUCGGGACCGAGGAAUCCGGCGCUCGUCGCCUGGGAUGCUGGCGUAAUGGCUUUAAGCGACCCGUCUUGAAACACGGACCAAGGAGUGCUACAUGCUCGCGAGUGUUUGGGUGGAAAACCCGAGCGCGCAAUGAAAGUGAAAGUCGAGACCCUUUGCGGGGGGCACCGACGCCCGAGCCUGAAGUUUACGGACGGCCUUGCGGUAGAGCGAGUAUGUUGCGACCCGAAAGAUGGUGAACUAUUCCUGAGGAGGGCGAAGCCAGAGGAAACUCUGGUGGAGGCUCGUAGCGGUUCUGACGUGCAAAUCGAUCGCAGGACUUGGGUAUAGGGGCGAAAGACUAAUCGAACCAUCUAGUAGCUGGUUCCUGCCGAAGUUUUCCCUC